Molecule: long non-coding RNA, 279 nt
Organism: Lytechinus pictus (painted urchin)
Lineage: Eukaryota; Metazoa; Echinodermata; Echinoidea; Temnopleuroida; Toxopneustidae
Exons: 3
Source: RefSeq, a predicted model, not a curated record
CGCGUGGUUAUAUAGCUCCCCUCAAAGGAGAGCAAUUCUUCUUUAAGUGGAGUUCUGGCAGUCUGAAGAUUUGUUGUCCGGAAAGCACCAAAGGAGAGACACCAAUGACUAUCGAAAAAAGCGAUGUACGCCAUUUGACAGACCAUAGAGUGAUGUUCAAAGUGGAUACCAGUAACGCAAGGGAUGACCAGAUGAUUGUCACUUUUAUUUUGGAACAAAGCACAACAAAGGAGAUCCUGAUUACCAUGAACUUAACAGACGUCCCUUCGGUUCAAUCAG